AUUGAACGCUGGCGGCAGGCUUAACACAUGCAAGUCGAGCGGGGGAAGGUAGCUUGCUACCGGACCUAGCGGCGGACGGGUGAGUAAUGCUUAGGAAUCUGCCUAUUAGUGGGGGACAACAUCUCGAAAGGGAUGCUAAUACCGCAUGCGUCCUACGGGAGAAAGCAGGGGAUCUUCGGACCUUGCGCUAAUAGAUGAGCCUAAGUCGGAUUAGCUAGUUGGUGGGGUAAAGGCCUACCAAGGCGACGAUCUGUAGCGGGUCUGAGAGGAUGAUCCGCCAAACUGGGACUGAGACACGGCCCAGACUCCUACGGGAGGCAGCAGUGGGGAAUAUUGGACAAUGGGGGGAACCCUGAUCCAGCCAUGCCGCGUGUGUGAAGAAGGCCUUAUGGUUGUAAAGCACUUUAAGCGAGGAGGAGGCUACUUUAGUUAAUACCUAGAGAUAGUGGACGUUACUCGCAGAAUAAGCACCGGCUAACUCUGUGCCAGCAGCCGCCGUAA
RNAcentral lists this ribosomal RNA (501 nucleotides) under uncultured bacterium. Its description in RNAcentral is "partial 16S ribosomal RNA". It matches the Rfam family "Bacterial small subunit ribosomal RNA", at positions 30 to 523 of the family's 1533-position model. The record is from RNAcentral.